UAUUGCGCAAUGGGGGAAACCCUGACGCAGCAACGCCGCGUGAGUGAGGAAGGUCUUCGGAUUGUAAAACCCUUUUGCUAGGGAAAAAUGACCUUGUGGCUAAUAUCCACGAGGAGUGAUGGUACCUAAAGAAUAAGGACCGGCUAACUUCGUGCCAGCAGCCGCGGUAAUACGAAGGGUCCAAGCGUUGUUCGGAAUCAUUGGGCGUAAAGCGCGCGCAGGCGGGUCAGCAAGUCAGAUGUGAAAUCUCGAAGCUCAACUUCGAAACUGCGUCUGAAACUGCUAGUCUAG
Molecule: ribosomal RNA, 291 nt
Filed under: uncultured Bacteriovoracaceae bacterium
Lineage: Bacteria; Pseudomonadati; Bdellovibrionota; Bacteriovoracia; Bacteriovoracales; Bacteriovoracaceae
Description: partial 16S ribosomal RNA
Rfam family: Bacterial small subunit ribosomal RNA
Source: RNAcentral